CGUGCCUAAUACAUGCAAGUAGAACGCUGAAGAGAGGAGCUUGCUCUUCUUGGAUGAGUUGCGAACGGGUGAGUAACGCGUAGGUAACCUGCCUUGUAGCGGGGGAUAACUAUUGGAAACGAUAGCUAAUACCGCAUAACAAUAGGUGACACAUGUCAUUUAUUUGAAAGGGGCAAUUGCUCCACUACAAGAUGGACCUGCGUUGUAUUAGCUAGUAGGUGAGGUAACGGCUCACCUAGGCGACGAUACAUAGCCGACCUGAGAGGGUGAUCGGCCACACUGGGACUGAGACACGGCCCAGACUCCUACGGGAGGCAGCAGUAGGGAAUCUUCGGCAAUGGGGGCAACCCUGACCGAGCAACGCCGCGUGAGUGAAGAAGGUUUUCGGAUCGUAAAGCUCUGUUGUAAGUCAAGAACGAGUGUGAGAGUGGAAAGUUCACACUGUGACGGUAGCUUACCAGAAAGGGACGGCUAACUACGUGCCAGCAGCCGCGGUAAUACGUAGGUCCCGAGCGUUGUCCGGAUUUAUUGGGCGUAAAGCGAGCGCAGGCGGUUUGAUAAGUCUGAAGUUAAAGGCUGUGGCUCAACCAUAGUUCGCUUUGGAAACUGUCAAACUUGAGUGCAGAAGGGGAGAGUGGAAUUCCAUGUGUAGCGGUGAAAUGCGUAGAUAUAUGGAGGAACACCGGUGGCGAAAGCGGCUCUCUGGUCUGUAACUGACGCUGAGGCUCGAAAGCGUGGGGAGCGAACAGGAUUAGAUACCCUGGUAGUCCACGCCGUAAACGAUGAGUGCUAGGUGUUGGAUCCUUUCCGGGAUUCAGUGCCGCAGCUAACGCAUUAAGCACUCCGCCUGGGGAGUACGACCGCAAGGUUGAAACUCAAAGGAAUUGACGGGGGCCCACACAAGCGGUGGAGCAUGUGGUUUAAUUCGAAGCAACGCGAAGAACCUUACCAGGUCUUGACAUCCCGAUGCUAUUUCUAGAGAUAGAAAGUUACUUCGGUACAUCGGUGACAGGUGGUGCAUGGUUGUCGUCAGCUCGUGUCGUGAGAUGUUGGGUUAAGUCCCGCAACGAGCGCAACCCCUAUUGUUAGUUGCCAUCAUUCAGUUGGGCACUCUAGCGAGACUGCCGGUAAUAAACCGGAGGAAGGUGGGGAUGACGUCAAAUCAUCAUGCCCCUUAUGACCUGGGCUACACACGUGCUACAAUGGUUGGUACAACGAGUUGCGAGUCGGUGACGGCAAGCUAAUCUCUUAAAGCCAAUCUCAGUUCGGAUUGUAGGCUGCAACUCGCCUACAUGAAGUCGGAAUCGCUAGUAAUCGCGGAUCAGCACGCCGCGGUGAAUACGUUCCCGGGCCUUGUACACACCGCCCGUCACACCACGAGAGUUUGUAACACCCGAAGUCGGUGAGGUAACCUUUUGGAGCCAGCCGCCUAAGGUGGGAUAGAUGAUUGGCG
RNAcentral lists this ribosomal RNA (1453 nucleotides) under uncultured organism. RNAcentral's name for it is "SSU rRNA". It matches the Rfam family "Bacterial small subunit ribosomal RNA". The record is from RNAcentral.